Molecule: ribosomal RNA, 497 nt
Filed under: uncultured bacterium
Lineage: Bacteria
Description: partial 16S ribosomal RNA
Rfam family: Bacterial small subunit ribosomal RNA
Source: RNAcentral
GAUGAACGCUGGCGGCGUGCCUAAUACAUGCAAGUCGAGCGAACAGACGAGGAGCUUGCUCCUCUGACGUUAGCGGCGGACGGGUGAGUAACACGUGGAUAACCUACCUAUAAGACUGGGAUAACUUCGGGAAACCGGAGCUAAUACCGGAUAAUAUAUUGAACCGCAUGGUUCAAUAGUGAAAGACGGUUUUGCUGUCACUUAUCGAUGGUUCCGCGCCGCAUUAGCUAGUUGGUAAGGUAACGGCUUACCAAGGCAACGAUGCGUAGCCGACCUGAGAGGGUGAUCGGCCACACUGGAACUGAGACACGGUCCAGACUCCUACGGGAGGCAGCAGUAGGGAAUCUUCCGCAAUGGGCGAAAGCCUGACGGAGCAACGCCGCGUGAGUGAUGAAGGUCUUCGGAUCGUAAAACUCUGUUAUUAGGGAAGAACAAAUGUGUAAGUAACUAUGCACGUCUUGACGGUACCUAAUCAGAAAGCCACGGCUAACUACGUG